RNAcentral lists this microRNA precursor (173 nucleotides) under Trypanosoma vivax Y486. The record is from RNAcentral. Lineage: Eukaryota; Euglenozoa; Kinetoplastea; Trypanosomatida; Trypanosomatidae.
AAAAAAGAAGGGAAGGGAAGGGAAGGGAAGGGAGAAGAAAAACCAGAACCUCCCAUUCAUUAAAGCGGAAAAGGUACCUAAAGACUUAAAUAAUUGAACUGUUUGAUUACUCUCUUUCCCACAUCUCUCUCUCUCUCUCUCUCUCUCUCUCUCUCUCCUCCUUCCUCUCUUUU